UGAACGCUGGCGGCAGGCCUAACACAUGCAAGUCGAGCGGAUGAAGGGAGCUUGCUCCUGGAUUCAGCGGCGGACGGGUGAGUAAUGCCUAGGAAUCUGCCUGGUAGUGGGGGAUAACGUCCGGAAACGGGCGCUAAUACCGCAUACGUCCUGAGGGAGAAAGUGGGGGAUCUUCGGACCUCACGCUAUCAGGUGAGCCUAGGUCGGAUUAGCUAGUUGGUGGGGUAAAGGCCUACCAAGGCGACGAUCCGUAACUGGUCUGAGAGGAUGAUCAGUCACACUGGAACUGAGACACGGUCCAGACUCCUACGGGAGGCAGCAGUGGGGAAUAUUGGACAAUGGGCGAAAGCCUGAUCCAGCCAUGCCGCGUGUGUGAAGAAGGUCUUCGGAUUGUAAAGCACUUUAAGUUGGGAGGAAGGGCAGUAAGUUAAUACCUUGCUGUUUUGACGUUACCAACAGAAUAAGCACCGGCUAACUUCGUG
This 482-nucleotide ribosomal RNA is filed under the name uncultured bacterium. RNAcentral's name for it is "partial 16S ribosomal RNA". It matches the Rfam family "Bacterial small subunit ribosomal RNA", at positions 30 to 507 of the family's 1533-position model. The record is from RNAcentral.